Molecule: small nuclear RNA, 107 nt
Organism: Mya arenaria
Lineage: Eukaryota; Metazoa; Mollusca; Bivalvia; Myida; Myidae
Source: RefSeq, a predicted model, not a curated record
CAGGUUUUAUAUCGAAUUCAAUCUCUUGAAAACGAUACAGAGAAGAUUAGCAUGGCCCCUGCGCAAAGGAGGACACGCAAUUUUCUCUCCAGACGUUCCAUGUUUCA